CGCACCUUGCGCCCUUUGGCUAUUCCGGAAGGGCAUGCCUGUUUGAGUAUCAUGAACACCUCAACUCUCAUGGCCUGGCCAUGAUGACGACUUGGACUUUGGGGGUCUUGCCGGCCUAACCGUUGGCUCCUCUCAAAUGAAUCAGCUUGCCAGUGUUUGGUGGCAUCACAGGUCGUGUAUAACUAUCUACGCUUGUGGUUCUCCACCGGGUAACCUUCAGCAAUGGAGGUUCGCUGGAGCUCACAGACGUCUCUACCUCAGGGAAGACGAGCUUUUUGAACGUUUGAUCUCAAAUCAGGUAGGACUACCCGCUGAACUUAA
RNAcentral lists this ribosomal RNA (321 nucleotides) under uncultured Thelephoraceae. RNAcentral's name for it is "eukaryotic LSU rRNA". Lineage: Eukaryota; Fungi; Basidiomycota; Agaricomycetes; Thelephorales; Thelephoraceae. The record is from RNAcentral.